This 1381-nucleotide ribosomal RNA is filed under the name Salmonella enterica. RNAcentral's name for it is "partial 23S ribosomal RNA". It matches the Rfam family "Bacterial large subunit ribosomal RNA", at positions 568 to 1773 of the family's 2925-position model. The record is from RNAcentral. Lineage: Bacteria; Pseudomonadati; Pseudomonadota; Gammaproteobacteria; Enterobacterales; Enterobacteriaceae.
CCACCACUAAGCCAGUGGUGAACUCCACAUACGCAUCCUUUGCUGAGGAUACGGUUAACGGAGCGAAAGCGACGUUCAACCUCAAAAGAAGCAGAGGGGGCUUAGUGGUGGGGUGACUGCGUACCUUUUGUAUAAUGGGUCAGCGACUUAUAUUCUGUAGCAAGGUUAACCGAAUAGGGGAGCCGGAGGGAAACCGAGUCUUAACCGGGCGUUAAGUUGCAGGGUAUAGACCCGAAACCCGGUGAUCUAGCCAUGGGCAGGUUGAAGGUUGGGUAACACUAACUGGAGGACCGAACCGACUAAUGUUGAAAAAUUAGCGGAUGACCUGUGGCUGGGGGUGAAAGGCCAAUCAAACCGGGAGAUAGCUGGUUCUCCCCGAAAGCUAUUUAGGUAGCGCCUCGUGAAUUCAUCUCCGGGGGUAGAGCACUGUUUCGGCUAGGGGGUCAUCCCGACUUACCAACCCGAUGCAAACUGCGAAUACCGGAGAAUGUUAUCACGGGAGACACACGGCGGGUGCUAACGUCCGUCGUGAAGAGGGAAACAACCCAGACCGCCAGCUAAGGUCCCAAAGUCAUGGUUAAGUGGGAAACGAUGUGGGAAGGCCCAGACAGCCAGGAUGUUGGCUUAGAAGCAGCCAUCAUUUAAAGAAAGCGUAAUAGCUCACUGGUCGAGUCGGCCUGCGCGGAAGAUGUAACGGGGCUAAACCAUGCACCGAAGCUGCGGCAGCGAACGUAUCACCCAAGACAACUUUACGGAGUUGACGAUUGAUGGAGCGAAGCGACGUCAAAGCGUUCAUUAAAGUCGAGUUGGCUUAGGGAUACGUUCGUUGGGUAGGGGAGCGUUCUGUAAGCCUGUGAAGGUGGCCUGUGAGGGUUGCUGGAGGUAUCAGAAGUGCGAAUGCUGACAUAAGUAACGAUAAAGCGGGUGAAAAGCCCGCUCGCCGGAAGACCAAGGGUUCCUGUCCAACGUUAAUCGGGGCAGGGUGAGUCGACCCCUAAGGCGAGGCCGAAAGGCGUAGUCGAUGGGAAACGGGUUAAUAUUCCCGUACUUGGUGUUACUGCGAAGGGGGGACGGAGAAGGCUAUGUUGGCCGGGCGACGGUUGUCCCGGUUUAAGCGUGUAGGUGUGUGUUCCAGGUAAAUCCGGUUCACUUUAACACUGAGGCGUGAUGACGAGGCACUACGGUGCUGAAGCAACAAAUGCCCUGCUUCCAGGAAAAGCCUCUAAGCAUCAGGUAACAUCAAAUCGUACCCCAAACCGACACAGGUGGUCAGGUAGAGAAUACCAAGGCGCUUGAGAGAACUCGGGUGAAGGAACUAGGCAAAAUGGUGCCGUAACUUCGGGAGAAGGCACGCUGACACGUAGGUGAAGUGAUUUACUCA